GAGGACAGGCCGGUUUAGAGCUCAUCUGCAACUGAUGACACUAAGCAGGCCACCUCCUUUUUCAGCUCAUCCAAGUCCCUGUCCUUCUUCCGCUUCCCCCCAUUCUCGGCGCCACACUGGAGGAAAAGAGAGACAGAUUACCAUAUACCAGGCCCAUAGGCUAUCACCCCACACCUCUACAGGAAAGAUGCUGUCCCGGGAUCCAUCAGGCCUGUAUGUCCAGGAGAAAGUGACGUCCUCCGAGGUCCAGCGCCAGGAGAAGAAGGAACAGGACAGCCGGAUGUCGGAGCCCACUAGGGCGUGGCGCUCCCAGCCGGUGUAAAUCACUAUGGCCUGGGACUGCUCAGGCACUGGGAGACACAAAGAAGGCGGAUAUGGAGGACAACCGACGCCAGCGCCAAAAACGUCAGCAUGGUUUCUGGCUUCUACGGAGCUCCCAAAAGACGGAUGCAGCAGGACCUGACGGGAGUCAGUCGAGGAAGAGUCCCACUCUGGAGGGAGUGUGAGCGGAAGGAGGAGAAAGAAAGAAAGAGAGUGGAGGGGUGCAGGAUGCCAGGACAGAGGGCUUCAAAACAGGACAACAACAGAAAACCCACUGUCCCCUGGUUUAUACCCAACCACACCCCUCGCCCCGGCCCGGCCCGGCCCAGUACUCCUCUCCUCUCCACACCCCCAACCCUUACCCCUCCCUGCCAUGUCUCUCAAUUUCAUCCUUCAUUGAAACAAAUUACACACAUUAUCUUUUGAAGUGGGAGAAAAACGCAGGCGAAGUGCACCUGCACUGUACAGUAGCUGGUGAAUUAGUUGGGUAAACAAUAGGCAACUUGGGGCAAAUUUGCCAACUCUGUGCAGCAUUACACCAUGAUUAAUGUAAUGUGUUAGAUCACACCCUCACUGUGAUGUGAUUGCGUUGAGAGGGAAUGCUAAUCAACGCUUGGCAUGUGUAGGCGCGAGCGAGGGUGUGUGACAGGGAAUCAUGACCAUCUGCGGUCGCACUGUAUGUGAUCACUGCUCAUAUGUAAAUAUUACAUGGGGAAUGGUGGGAGGCUGUCUCGGCCUGUUUCUGUCUGUUUACAGUGAAGGAGGAGGGGAUGAAGGGCAUCCUGCGGCGAGGUCAGACCAGUGCUCUCUCCUCCGUCCCCAUCCCUCUCUCUUCUUUCGCCUCUCCCUGCACUUUCAGCGAGUCUGAGGCCAGCGGCCCAAACAAAGCCCCGACUCUUUGCUCUCUCUUUUCUCCCCGUCCUCCCUCUCUCCAGAUUCUUGUCGUUUGCUGACGUCUAGCACUUGGAGACAAUGGAGAGCGAGGGGGACAGGGGCUGACUGGUGUUUGCCCGUCUGUCAAUGGCGCUUUCUUCCUCUCAGGCCUCACCCUCUCCUUCUCCCAGCCUCAUUUUCUCCUCCUUCCUUAACAAAGCUGUGUAUUCACUGCUGCCCCCACUCCUCACUUUUCCAGUAACAUAGAGAGCGAGAGAGUGGGGAAGAGACCUGCUAUAUAUAGACGGGUUGAUAUGAGGACAGGACAAGACAAGAUGCGCAGACACAAGAGCAAGAGCCUGCGGUGUGACUGAGCGGACACACUGAAGGGGAAUUUCUGCAAAAAGGCUCAUUUGUG
This is a long non-coding RNA of Micropterus dolomieu (smallmouth bass), 1612 nucleotides long. RefSeq lists it as uncharacterized. Lineage: Eukaryota; Metazoa; Chordata; Actinopteri; Centrarchiformes; Centrarchidae. The transcript has 4 exons. The record is from RefSeq and is a predicted model, not a curated record.